UCCUCCAAGGCUAAAUACUCCUGACUGACCGAUAGUGAACCAGUACCGUGAGGGAAAGGCGAAAAGAACCCCGGCGAGGGGAGUGAAAAAGAACCUGAAACCGUGUACGUACAAGCAGUGGGAGCCUCUUAAUGGGGUGACUGCGUACCUUUUGUAUAAUGGGUCAGCGACUUAUAUUCUGUAGCAAGGUUAACCGAAUAGGGGAGCCGAAGGGAAACCGAGUCUUAACUGGGCGUUAAGUUGCAGGGUAUAGACCCGAAACCCGGUGAUCUAGCCAUGGGCAGGUUGAAGGUUGGGUAACACUAACUGGAGGACCGAACCGACUAAUGUUGAAAAAUUAGCGGAUGACUUGUGGCUGGGGGUGAAAGGCCAAUCAAACCGGGAGAUAGCUGGUUCUCCCCGAAAGCUAUUUAGGUAGCGCCUCGUGAAUUCAUCUCCGGGGGUAGAGCACUGUUUCGGCAAGGGGGUCAUCCCGACUUACCAACCCGAUGCAAACUGCGAAUACCGGAGAAUGUUAUCACGGGAGACACACGGCGGGUGCUAACGUCCGUCGUGAAGAGGGAAACAACCCAGACCGCCAGCUAAGGUCCCAAAGUCAUGGUUAAGUGGGAAACGAUGUGGGAAGGCCCAGACAGCCAGGAUGUUGGCUUAGAAGCAGCCAUCAUUUAAAGAAAGCGUAAUAGCUCACUGGUCGAGUCGGCCUGCGCGGAAGAUGUAACGGGGCUAAACCAUGCACCGAAGCUGCGGCAGCGACACUAUGUGUUGUUGGGUAGGGGAGCGUUCUGUAAGCCUGUGAAGGUGGCCUGUGAGGGUUGCUGGAGGUAUCAGAAGUGCGAAUGCUGACAUAAGUAACGAUAAAGCGGGUGAAAAGCCCGCUCGCCGGAAGA
RNAcentral lists this ribosomal RNA (887 nucleotides) under Escherichia coli. Its description in RNAcentral is "partial 23S ribosomal RNA". It matches the Rfam family "Bacterial large subunit ribosomal RNA", at positions 456 to 1344 of the family's 2925-position model. The record is from RNAcentral. Lineage: Bacteria; Pseudomonadati; Pseudomonadota; Gammaproteobacteria; Enterobacterales; Enterobacteriaceae.